Molecule: small nuclear RNA, 23 nt
Filed under: Arabidopsis thaliana (thale cress)
Lineage: Eukaryota; Viridiplantae; Streptophyta; Magnoliopsida; Brassicales; Brassicaceae
Description: snRNA_07593
Source: RNAcentral
ACGUUUAUUUAUAUUCACUAUGA